This 1020-nucleotide ribosomal RNA is filed under the name Triticum aestivum (bread wheat). Its description in RNAcentral is "partial small subunit ribosomal RNA". Lineage: Eukaryota; Viridiplantae; Streptophyta; Magnoliopsida; Poales; Poaceae. The record is from RNAcentral.
AUGUUGACGACGAGCGCUCCGGGCACGGCCGGCACCUCCACCCACCUGUCAGCCGGCGGCCCGUGCCGGAACAGGUGCAGCCCCGGGACCUGGCUCUGCAUCAGGAGAGCGAAGAACCCCGAGUCCGUGUGGGCUUUCAUGCCCAGCGCUCGCUUCGGAUCAGGGCAUUUAGGGUACCUGCAUGCAUGCAAUAGAGUACACGUCAAACACGUGGAGACACGAGUAGCCGCUGGGAGUGUUGCCAUUUGUACUACGUACCAGUUGAGGUGUAUUGUCUCGCUCAUGGUCUCGGUGAGUUUGUGCUCCGCCUCGACGCCGGCGAUCUGCGGGCCGGUGAGCCCGAGCGCUACCAGGAACAGCUCCAUCAGCUUGUCUGCCAGCGCGCGCAUCUCCUUGUGGAACUCCUCCAUCACGCCGCUGCACAUCACGCGAUUAACAAACGAUGCAAUUACCCCUAGCAAGUUAGAUCUCUCGGGAAUUAAUUCAUGGACACAUACCAGAAUUGGCUGUAGUCGUGGCCGGCGUCGGGCCAGAUCUUGCGGAGUUCGGGGCGGAGGUUGGUCGGGCUCAAGGAGUAGCCCUCGGACCACAUGGUCUUGGAGAAGUAGAGCGCGAUGUGCGGCAGCCCGUAGCCGUAGGGGUCACCGCCCUGGCGCGCGGCGCGCAUCUUGUCCGUCUUCGGCAGCGCAAACAUGCCGGCGAUCCCGGCCUCGACGCGCGCCAGCAGCUCUCUCGGCACGCCGUGGCCCUGGAGCAGGAACGCUCCCCAUUGCUCCGAUGCACGCGCCACCGCCUCUGCCGCGUGCGGAUCCUGCAUGUCCACCACCGGCACGGCGUCCUCCCCAGCCCCAACGCCGCCGUCCACCACCGGGUGCUCGUGCAGCCCCUCCCACGCGUGCGUCUCCGGCACCUGCCGCGCCGCCCCCAAGUCGAAGUAGUGGUUGUGCGGGUCCUUGUUCAGCUUCGACGGAGUCGGCAUGGCGAUCGAUGCUGAACCACAAUAGUCACGUUUGCUUGUAG